UUGGGAGCUCACUAGCUUCGGAUUCCAUAAGAACUCCGAAGUUAAGCGAGUUUGGGCUAGAGCAAUCCCAGGAUGGGUGAUUCACUGGAAAAUUGCUCGUGAGUUCCCAAA
RNAcentral lists this ribosomal RNA (111 nucleotides) under Prunus dulcis (almond). Lineage: Eukaryota; Viridiplantae; Streptophyta; Magnoliopsida; Rosales; Rosaceae. The record is from RNAcentral.